RNAcentral lists this ribosomal RNA (446 nucleotides) under uncultured bacterium. Its description in RNAcentral is "partial 16S ribosomal RNA". It matches the Rfam family "Bacterial small subunit ribosomal RNA", at positions 338 to 795 of the family's 1533-position model. The record is from RNAcentral.
CCUACGGGGGGCAGCAGUCGAGAAUCAUGCACAAUGGGGGAAACCCUGAUGGAGCGACGCCGCGUGGGGGAAUGAAGGUCUGCGGAUUGUAAACUCCUGUCAUGUGGGAGCAAAUUAAAAAGAUAGUACCACAAGAGGAAGAGAAGGCUAACUCUGUGCCAGCAGCCGCGGUACUACGGAGGUCUCAAGCGUUGUUCGGAAUCACUGGGCGUAAAGCGUGCGUAGGCGGUUUCGUAAGUCGGGUGUGAAAGGUGCGGGCUCAACCCGCGGACGGCACAUGAUACUGGGAGACUAGAGUACUGGAGGGGGAAGCGGAAUUCUCGGUGUAGCGGUGAAAUGCGUAGAUAUCGAGAGGAACACUCGUGGCGAAGGCAGGUUCCUGGACAUUAACUGACGCUGAGGCACGAAAGCCCGGGGAGCGAACAGGAUUAGAUACCCCAGUAGUC